ACCAGUGUGAUGUCAGUGGUGACAGCUGCUAUGCAGGAAGGGAAAGCUGGGUGAAGAGUGGAUGGCCUGGGAGCAGCACUGCCACGUGGAAUAGGAAACCAGAGAUGGCCUCAUAGGGGAAGAGACUUUCAGACAGAGGAAACAGUACGUGCAGAGGCCACAGGCCAGAGCCUGGCACAUCAGAGAUUGUUUAAUGCCUGUUGAGGACAGAAAUCAGAUCUGUUUUGUCCAUAAUGCCAAUCAAAGCUGAGUUCUCCGAAGUGGACAGAGAAGUGAGUGACUCUCAGAAAGUCUCUCUGAUCUAUUUUUGGCUGAGUGUGCUGUAAUUCACAGUAUGUCCGGACACGGGAUAUUUUUCAGCUUCAGAUAUCUUCAUGGAAGGCGCUAAGUCUCAGGCAGAGCAAUGCUUAGCUUCUUGUGUCCUCAGCACAUGCAUAGAAGUGGGUGUCAGAGCAACGUGCGCCCCCGUGCAUGUCAGCAGAGACAUUGCCAGUGCUCCAGGAGCACUUGUUCCCAAUUUAAUUAAAAACAAAAAACUCCCAAUAGCAAUUUGUCACUGUGCUUUAGGAGGCAUGGAAGCUGUGCUCCAAACUACUGUGACCUGGUUGUUUUGCAGCAAACCUGGUCUGGCUCAUUAACAACUGGAGGCAUAGUCUGUGCUUCAUGCUUCCGUUCCUCAGUUACUCCUGUGAGCCUGGGGUUGGGUGAUAUAACAAACAUGAAGGGAGACCAGUGGGAGGAAAAAUCAGGGCAGGGGCUGUCCCUGUUCUCCAGGCUGGAGCUGGCACUGGCAGCUGCUAUUGCAAACUCAACCUUACUAAUGCCAAUUGGAAAUAUGCACUCAAUCCACUGGGAAAAGCAAGUCAUGAAGAAAUCUCAUCCCCACAGCCAGCACACCCCAGGCUGAUUGGCGAAGCUGCUAAUUGCUUAACACAAGCAAUUAGCAAGGUAGAUGACACCGGAGAAAUGCAAAGCAGUUGCAGUGAGCAUUUUAAAUAUCGCCUUAACUCACUGGAGUAGCUGAGAGGUCCGGAUGAGACCAGUAGCAUAUCGAUCACUUAGGAGCUGCAAAGACACUAGCUCUGCGUUAAUCAAAGAAUCUGUCUCCGCUGAGGGGAAAAAGCCAGGAAAACACCUGAAAAUGUGGCUUUCGGCUCCUGUGCCCUAGUUUCUUCACCAGAAACCAAAUUCCAGACUCCAUUCAAUUCCUCAUCAGUGAUCAAUAUAGGUAACAAAAUGCUGGGCUGUGUGUGGAUCUAUAAGCAGAUGCUGGAGGCACUGGUACAGACACAGCUGAGCCUGAGGGAUCAGCAGCUCCCUGGUACCUCCCUGCCUUCAUCAAGGAGAAAUGUUUAAUCACAACAGAGCAAGAUAUACAUUCUUCCUGCUGAGGGUGGAAGGAACCUGAGGGCUGUAGUUUAAGGCUUGAAGAAGUGGCAGAGACGCAGAUCACAUCUCUGCUCUUGCUGGUCCCUCUCGCUGAGGAAAACCCAACCCUUCCAGUGCCCCAAUUGCCAUGCUUGCUGGCCCCCCUCACGAGGUGCAUUCAGUGCAGUCCUGACUUCCGACCAGGAUCAGGAAGGAAUUCACCCACCUCCUCAGUGAUUGCGCUCUUCAAGGUGAACAGCCCAGAUCCUUCUAGGCUGCCCGACCUCCAGCCCCCAGGCUGGGAAGGAAGUCAUCACUUCCCAGGAGAGUUUUGGAAGUCAUCACUUCCCAGGAGAGUUUUGGCAGAUUGGAUUUUCCAAAGAUGGCGCCAUCAAUAUCUCUCAUCCCCCACAAUCUCCUUACACAGUGACAGGUCAUCUGUGACACCAAGAUAUCAGGGCUGUGUCCCCCCCUCUGAAUCAGAGUAGACCUCUUUGACUGCCUCAACACAGAGUAGAGCAAAGUGAAGCCCUGUGACUCCUGAGACCAGAUCAUGGAAAUUCUAGGUUCUUCCUCUUUGUUCUCCUGGGACGUUACUCCUAGAACCAGACACCGUGCUGUAAGAAAGCCCAGGCAGACCUUGGAGAAGGCCCCGUGUGGAGAGAAACCAAAACCUGGGGCCCACCGCCCUUGCUGCCCUCCCCGACAACGACUGGAACCACACUUCAGCCCCAGAGUAAGACAUCUCCGAAGCAGGUCCUCUACCCUCCAGGGGUCUGCCCCAGAGGGUGCCCCAGAGAGCAAGGCAAGCUCUCUCCACCAAGCCCUGCAAUCUUCAAAUUCAUGAGCAGAAUAAAUAACCACAGUUGUGUCAAAAGACAAAAUCACAACAAAUUUAAAGAUCUUAAUUGGCUUUUAUGUGUGAUUCGUGAAUCAGGGCAGCCUCCAUCCUACAAAAUAAAAUGAAAGCUUGAAAGCUUCCACCAACCAGUAGCAGAACAGUGAGUUUUCUAAGGGGAAAACAAGGAAACAAAACCAUAGAAAAAUAACUGAUCAAUUAAUAGCAUUAGGUUACUUCUUUGUGAGAGUUAACGCAGGACAGACUUCCUUAUUGUGCCAGCUAAAGCUGGCCUCUUUGGUUAUAUUUCUCUCUCCUGAUUUCUCAGAAGGUCAAGUAGCUUAGUUUUGGUUUGGUGACAUGGAACUUUAGCAUGAGUGACUUCAUUUUGCUUUGGUCUGCUGGGGCUGGUAAAGGGGUCUACUUCCAGGGGAGAGUAUUUUUAAGGCUACGUAGCAUCAGGGCCACAGGAGGCUCUUGUUGACAGAAAUGACUGCAAUAUAACCAGGUCUGCUUGAGCCCUAAGUAGGCACAGCUGAUGGAUGUCCUCUACCUUUCUUAUGUGUCAGCCUCUUAGAACAUCCCUGUGGGGUUAGAUGUUUCUGUAAGCCACCCAAAGGAUAACUGACAAGCUUAUCUGUCCCGAGGGGAGGGAUGAAUAGACGGUAGUAUGACAUUGUGAUUUAUGAUAAGAAAUAUAUAUUUGGUUUUUGUCCUGCUCCCUGGCACACAGCUCCUAAAAAGCUUGGAGUCUCCAAAGUGACAAGUGUCUGUUUCUAUGCGAAUGUGGUGAUUGACCCCGGACCGCCUCAGGAGGGGGCCUGGUUGUCAAGGGGACGGAUGGCAUACUUAGAGGGCCAAAGGGCCUGCUCAGGCGAGGCGGUAUUCCUCGGGAUUCUUUUCUGCAGUGGAUAAGGAGAUAACAGGGAGGAGAAGGAAAGCAACUGUUCUCCUUGGGGGUCGGUCUUUAUGCAGAUAAGGGAAAACUCUCUUGGCCUCUGUUGAUCUCUAAGGAUUUUCAAUUCAAAAUACUCACUAUACUAGGGAGCCAUAUUUUUGGGUGAAGUUCCCUGGGUUCCUUCAGUGCUAUAGGUGAGGAAAUGUAAUUUCUUUUCUUUCCCUUAUAGAUUCUUAGUUUAGACUUGCUUGAAAACAAAAGUCAGAUUAACAAGAGAAAACCCAGCAGGAGUUUAUUAACACUUGC
Molecule: long non-coding RNA, 3410 nt
Filed under: Homo sapiens (human)
Lineage: Eukaryota; Metazoa; Chordata; Mammalia; Primates; Hominidae
Description: HSALNT0400277
Source: RNAcentral